GACGAACGCUGGCGGCGCGCUUAACACAUGCAAGUCGAACGGAAAGGCCUGCUUUCCCUUGUGGAUUGCGGGUACUCGAGUGGCGAACGGGUGAGUAACACGUGAGUGAUCUGCCCCCAACUUGGGUAUAAGCCUGGGAAACUGGGUCUAAUUCCCGAUAGGACUGCAGGGUGGUGCCUGUGGUGGAAAACGAUUUUCUAGUGGUUGGGGAUGAGCUCGCGGCCUAUCAGCUUGUUGGUGGGGUAAUGGCCUACCAAGGCGGCGACGGGUAGCCGGCCUGAGAGGGUGGACGGCCACAUUGAGACUGAGAUACGGCCCAGACUCCUACGGGAGGCAGCAGUGGGGAAUAUUGCACAAUGGGCGGAAGCCUGAUGCAGCGACGCCGCGUGGGGGAUGACGGCCUUCGGGUGGUAAACUCCUUUCGACCGCGAGGAAGCCACCUGGUUGGAAGGGUGGUGACGGUAGUGGUAGAAGAAGCACCGGCUAACUACGUG
RNAcentral lists this ribosomal RNA (494 nucleotides) under uncultured bacterium. RNAcentral's name for it is "partial 16S ribosomal RNA". It matches the Rfam family "Bacterial small subunit ribosomal RNA", at positions 28 to 507 of the family's 1533-position model. The record is from RNAcentral.